Vigna angularis (adzuki bean) is the source of this 5690-nucleotide long non-coding RNA. RefSeq lists it as uncharacterized. Lineage: Eukaryota; Viridiplantae; Streptophyta; Magnoliopsida; Fabales; Fabaceae. The record is from RefSeq and is a predicted model, not a curated record. The transcript has 4 exons.
UGAUUGGUGAUACUAGAGGCUGUGAGACAUGCGAGAGAAAAGAAACACAGACGAUCUCCAUGGCAAUUCACCAACAGAGCUCGGAGCGGCGGUUACUAGACAAAAAAGGGAAACGAAAAGAAAGGAGACGUUGUAAUAGAGCGAAGCAACCUGAAACACGUUUUGGCAGCACUGUUAAUGUGACCCAGCAUGCUUCCCGUGAUCCAGCUGACUUCGCCUCCAAGCUCGUCUUUUAUUUUGAAUUUUUGGAGGGAAUUUAGCUCAGAAUUGAGGCCCUUCUUCACCUAUAAAUAAGAGGAUCUUCCUUUUCUAUUUUCUCACUUUUGAGCUUAGUGAAAUGCUGCAAAAAUUGUUUUCCAGACCUAUUGCUCUUGAGUCACUCCUUCUCUUCACUUUCUCUACCCUUUCCUCUAGCUUCUUUCCAUAGUAGGAAGGCCUUCUGAGCCGAGAGAUCUCUACACACACUCCUUCCAUUAAAAACACACCAAAACACCAUUUAUCUACUUCCAUUCCGCUGUACUUUCCUGUCUUGUUGUUUGGAGUUGCAACCUGUGAGUUCCAGGCCUGGCAAGCUUCCAUCAGUUAAUCUCUACAAGUGUGAACCAUAGGACUUACCAGAAAAGUGCAAAGCUUACAGAAAAAGAAAGAGGUCCAAGAAACUAGUUUGACAAUAGUGAUAAACUAGGUGUGAUUUCUUGAAGAGCAAGAUUGUUGAGUUUUCAAAGUCUGAUUUCAACUCCUGCUCCAACGCACACUCCUCCCCCUCUGCUCACACCUAAAAGGUGAUCAUUACAAGAGAAAAACCGAACAGAAACAUGGACAAAACAGGAAAAUAAGGGUAAGCUAAUGUAAUUUAAUUAUGCAAACAUACAUACAUUUCGUACAAGUACAACCAAUGCAGAACCAAACACUACAACAUACCAAAACAAAUAUAGGUAAGCAAAUAUAAAUUGAACACUAUACUUCAUGCAUAAAUCGAACACCUGACUUAACCAUUCAGAUUUUAUGAAUAAUCAUCAGAAUAUCAGGAUGAACUUCAUGGAUUUCAUUGUCCAUAUUCAUACUUCCCACUUCAAUACACAUUUCACUGAGACAUUCCUCCUUAGAAUUCUCUUCCACAUUACUUGAAACAUAUGCCUUAUUUGAAUUUCAAUAUAAUUUCUCAUACACAAUAGAUCAAUACAACUAUCUCAAGCAAUCAGAGUCAAACAGUGAAAUUAACAUUUAAAGUCCAAAUAAUCAUUCAUAGAAGAAAACCGAACGACAACAACACAACCCCUGAGUACGACCGAACGAAAACUCACUAUUUAUGACAAAACCGAACACCAUUACAAAAUUGUAUACCAAUACAUGACCGAACGCUAGUACUAAACAAAAUACUAGCACGAAAUCGAGUGUUAUACCCUAAGAUGAAUGCCUAUAGUUUAGUCUGAAGACCUAUAACUUAAACUUAACGCAUUUAAGCUUAAUGCUAGUACGGGACCGAGUACUACCAAGAACGAUCACUAGUACGAAAUCGAGCACUACCAAGAACGAGCGCUAGUACAGGACCGCGCACUACCAAGAACGAGCGCUAGUACGAGAUCGAGUGCUAACACUAGCAUAACUGCUAGUACAAGACCGAGCGCUAACACUAGCAUAACUACUAGUACACAACCGAGCACUAACACUAUCAUAACUACUAGCACACGACCGAGCGCUAACACCAGCAUAACUACUAGUACACGACCGAGCGCUAACACUAGCAUAACUACUAGUACACGACCGAGGGUUAGCACUGGCACUACUAAUAACGAACGAUAAUACCAACCCGAAGACUGUCGAGUUAAAAAACGAGUACUUUUAAAACUGAACAUCAAUACUAAACCGAACAACACUUAGCCAGAAUAUCACUACGAAACCGAAUACCGCUCAACCCGAUUACCUGACCUGACCGAGCGUUCAAUAACGAGCGUUCAAUAACAAGCGCUCGACUUUCUACAUAAUUUUGCAGAACUUCUCAACCAGUUCACAAGUCUCAGCCAUACACAAAAAUCAAGCCAACAUCAAAUUAUCCACACAUGCACACGUCCAACCAACAAUUUCAAACAUAAACAAACAUAAUUAAAUUACUAGCUUCCCUUACCUCUUAACUGGAUCAAAACUCACAAUUGCAGAAAAUCACUCACCACCAAAAAUCUUAGAAACCUAAGGUUCACUGAUUGAUGAAAAAUAUACCAACCACAAGACCAAAAAUGUGAUCAGAAUUUUAAGAAAAGAAGAUGAUAGACACAUGCAACCAGAAACAUGGCUUGAAUGUGCCAGAAAACAGAAUUUCUAAGAAGAAGAACUUACCAGCUCAAACAACCACUUAAUCGGUUCGAAAGAAAACUCUUGAUACUAGGAGGGCUCAAGCACCACCUGAUUGAUGAUCAGAUGAAGAGAACGUGUGAAGUUCUAGAGAGAAUUUAGAAAGUUGGCAAAGAGAUAGUGCAUACAGAAAGUGGAACGUGAUUUGAAAUUUUCAUUUAAAUACUAUCGUCAAAACUGAACGGUGCACUCUCUUACAUACACCUGUCUUCCACUAACCUACUUAAAUUUUCUCAGUCCUCACAAAAAGUCAGAAUUCAGAUCAGAAAGAAUUAAUCUACAUGAUGAUGGUUUCUUGAAUUCAAUAGGCAAAGGUCCUUUGAAUCUUGUGAUUAACAGUUUUCAUGAGCCUAUCAAGACAGGAAUAUCAAGGAGUCCAAAUCAAGAGGAGAAAAGAUAGAUCAACAUCUUGAAACCUGCUGAUGAAACUAUAGAAAGCUCAAAGGAUGAAGAAACUGAUCUUAUGGCUGAAAGGUUUUCUAAAUUCGUGUUCUGUAAAAAAGAAACUAACUUGAAUCUUGCAGGAAAUAAAGAGCACUUUAGAAAAAAAGAUGAAGAUGUUGCUUCUUCCAGUACUGUAUGUGAAACAGAAGGAAGUUCACUCAAAUUGAAGCAAAGACUAGAAAAAGAACAUGAAGGCAGAGAUGAACACCAACCCACUAAAGGACAAUAUGUUGAUUCAUUAAGUGUGGAAAUGUCUACUAGAGCAACUCUUUACAGACCAAAGACUAACUUUGAAAGACAUAUGGUCGAGCAAAUGCAAACACUGGUCAAUCCACCUACACAUCCAAGCUUGACAAAAUGGAUCAAGAGAUUGUUGCACUCUAGAAGCUAAUUGGGAAUCAAAAUUUGGGUGAUGAAAGAGUAGCAAUAGAUGAUGAGAUUGAGGAAGAUGAUGGAGAUGAUGGCAGUAAAGAAAAAGAAAGAGAGCAAGAGGAAACAGACUUCUGCUUGAUGGAAAAAUCUACAAUAUUUGAAAGCAGCGUGAGUAGUGAUGAAUCUAAAUGCACCGAAAAUAGGUACUAUCAACUACUUGAUAUUUUUGAAGAAUUGUAUGAUGAAGCUAUGAAAUUGCAACACUUAAUCAUCAAGUUUAGAAAGGAAAACAAGAGGCUCAAAAAUAGAUUAGAGGUUCUUGAUAAUGAAAAUGAUAGUUUGAAAUCAAAGCUAGAAUCUCUAGAGAAUAUAUCUCAAAACACUAUGCAUGUGAACAAGAAGUGUGAUUAAGAGUGUGAAAUAUGUCCAAGAAAAUUGGAAAGAAUUAAAUUUCUUAUGAAAACUUUAUCAAAAUUCACACUAGGCAGUUCAAAUCUUGAUGCUCUUCUUGGUUCACAAAGGAUUGUGUUGAAUAGAGAAGGAAUAGGAUAUGUCGGUAAAAGUAAUAGAUUUAGAACUAGAAGGUUUAUUGACAUAAGCAAACCCUCUUCAAUUUUCUGUUUCUACUGCAACCAGUUAAGCCAUGCAUCAAAUUCAUGUUAUUACAAAAAUUGUGGAAUUCCUAAAGGAAAGUUUAAAUGGAUUCCUAAGGAACCAAUAAAAUCUUCUAACAUGAAAGGACCCAAAUUCAAAUGGAUACUUGCAUCAAAACCUUUAAACUAUUUUACAGGAGAUUGAAAGGAAUGGAAAAGGACCGGACUCAAGAUGAUGCAUAAAGCUGAAGCAAAUCUCACAAUUUAAAGUGAUAUUGUCAUCUUGAGAGUCAUCAAAAGUGGUAACAAGCUGUAAAUUUGAUAAAAUGUGUAUCAUUUGUGUUCUACAUAAUCAUUUUGAUGUAUGUGUUGUGUGCUUGUCGCUUGAUUUGAAGAGAUAGUGUGAAAAUAUGCUUUGCAAAAUUUAAUAUGUUAUGUUAAAAACAUAAUUUGUUAAAUCUGCUCCAAAGAGAGUUUCUUUUCUGUUUCAAACAGUUUUAACCUCAUCUCUUAAUCAAUUGUUAAAAACUAUUUUGGAUGAUUAUGUUGAUUCCAAUAUCUUCAUAUCUAAAUGCUUUGUGAUUUGGAUAAAUGCAUUGAAUGACUAUAUUGAUCAUGCUCUAAAUGUUAAAACUAAUAUUUCACUUGGUGACACGAUUCAAUGAUCAUAGUCUUUCUUUUUUCAUACAUUACAAAACUGCGGAUUCAUAUCAUGAUUAUUGGAUAUUAACAUUGCAAAAUGUUGAGAAGGAUAUCUUUGCAGGUAUUGAUGUGAGUGAUACAGGUCUAUAUACAUGAACUUUGAUUCUUAAUUAUAUCUUCAAAUUUUAAUAGAUUAAACAAAUUACAUAAUCGAUUAAGUCUGUCAGAUUUUUUUAAAUUUAAGAUGUUAAAGCAUUAAACACUUGUCUUACAUGUUCUUACUUGCUUUCAAAUGAUUUCUAUGAUACUAAACAAGUUUCAAAUGUUCUAAUACACAUGUUUAGCACAAGUUUUAAAAUCAUAGGAUGCAUAGAGCUCAAAAUUGAUUUGAAAAUCAUCAUUCUUUUUAUAUGUAUAUUUGUGUACCACAGUGCUUUGAUACUAUUCUGAUUAAACUGGAAUCAUAUUUUUUACUGCACUAUAUUUGAUAUAUCUUUGUUCUUUGUGUAUAAUACUCUUUGAUACAUACACAUUGCACAUGAUACAUGAGUACUGAAAUAUGUAUUUGAUAUCAAAACUAGGUUCAUGACAAAAUCAAGCAUUAAUUACUCUGAUACAAGUUAUUGAACCUGUUGUAUGAAUGCAAAUUUGUUAUUCUCACUGUCAUAUACUUCAUUGCAUAUUCAUACUCAUUUGAUAUUUCAAAUUGCAUCACAACCACUGUGUUUUACUGGACUAACACUCAACAUCAUUGAGAAAAGUUGUGUUAUGUAGGAUUAUUGCUGUAAUGAUCUUAUAUAUGUUAUUGAACACAUUCACUCAGCAGGAUUUUAAUCGAUUAGACUAUAAUCAAAAUCGAUUUUAAAAUGCUUGUAUGCGAAUAAACUACUGAUUACUGUUACAUUCAUACAUCUGCAUACUCACAUUUUAACUGUGAUAUUUCCUGUAUAUUAUUGAUUCUAAAAUACUUGAUCCACUACAAAAAAAAAGGUUAUUUAGUGGAGUUUUUUUUUUCGAUUUAUGGGUAUUUUUACCCUUUGCAAAGUAAAUUGUAGGGUUUUUCCAAACCGCCAUAGUUUGAGUCGCCACAACUUAUCUACGGGGAUUUUUCGCAACUCCUAAUAUCAUAAUCAAUUUGCGGAGGUUUUUCUACAAAGGCUAUACAAUAACAGGAGAGUAAGAGGACUGAACAUCGCUGGAGGAGUCGACAGUGAUAGCAGCUUGGACGAGCUUCCAUUGGAGUUCAUUGGAGGAGUCGAAACUAAAAACUCGUAGUGAGCGAAAUGGAAG